GGGAGCGCAACUGACGCUGAAGCUCGAAAGUGCGGGUAUCGAACAGGAUUAGAUACCCUGGUAGUCCGCACGGUAAACGAUGGAUGCCCGCUUUUCGGUCAUAGGNCCGUGAGGNCAAGUGAAAACAUUAAGCAUCCCACCUGGGGAGUACGCCGGCAACGGUGAAACUCAAAGGAAUUGACGGGGGCCCGCACAAGCGGAGGAACAUGUGGUUUAAUUCGAUGAUACGCGAGGAACCUUACCCGGGCUUGAAUUGCAGAUGAAGGAUCCAGAGAUGGUGACGCCCUUCGGGGCAUCUGUGAAGGUGCUGCAUGGUUGUCGUCAGCUCGUGCCGUGAGGUGUCGGCUCAAGUGCCAUAACGAGCGCAACCCCUCUCUUCAGUUGCCAUCAGGUAAAGCUGGGCACUCUGGAGACACUGCCACCGCAAGGUGUGAGGAAGGUGGGGAUGACGUCAAAUCAGCACGGCCCUUACGUCCGGGGCUACACACGUGUUACAAUGGGGGGUACAGCAAGCCGGCUGCCCGCAAGGUCAGUCCAAUCAAGAAAGCCCUCCUCAGUUCGGACUGGGGUCUGCAACCCGACCCCACGAAGCUGGAUUCGCUAGUAAUCGCGCAUCAGCCAUGGCGCGGUGAAUACGUUCCCGGGCCUUGUACACACCGCCCGUCAAGCCAUGAAAGCCGGGGGUGCCUGAAGUCCGUGACCGCAAGGAUCGGCCUAGGGCAAAACUGGUAAUUGGGGCUAAGUCGUAACAAGGUAGCCG
RNAcentral lists this ribosomal RNA (760 nucleotides) under uncultured bacterium. Its description in RNAcentral is "bacterial SSU rRNA". It matches the Rfam family "Bacterial small subunit ribosomal RNA", at positions 730 to 1502 of the family's 1533-position model. The record is from RNAcentral.